UCUUUAGAUCUGCGCGCGCAGGCACGGUUGCGCACGCGCCACGCGUUUGCCAAGUCAGACUGUAUGUCCUUCGAGGGGUGGCGCGCUUCUCUCUCUCUCUCUCUCUCUCUCUCUCUCUCUCUCUCUCUCUGUCUUAAGAAGGAGGGGGACCUCUAGCCCGCACACAGGUGGUGGGUUGGGCUAGCACCGACAACAUUUCUUCCCCCCCCCCCGCUGCCCUCCACGUUCUACCCGUGAACAACAGGGGGCGCGCGGGGGCGCUUCUAGAGUUGGCUCUGCUUCUUUCACACGUUUGCCCUGUUCGCGGCACGCCCCUCUCUCUCAAGGUUUGGGUUUCUGCGGGUUUGGAAGAAGAGCUAUAGAAAACCGAAUUUCCACAAGGAAAGGGAAAAAGAUUACUAUUAAUAGCAAGUAGUUCUAUGAAAUACUCAGCAUCUUCUGGAAGAUGGUGGAAGAGGAGGAUGAAAGUUAACUGUAGUGGAAAAGAGGAAAAAGAUGAAAAGAGAGCAGCAAGAAAACAGUUGCCAUGAGUAGAUUUUUCUUUACUUUUGUGUGUAUAAAAUGAACAGAAUGACAUUUUAUGAAAAUAUGAACGAAAUCUUUUCCAAACUGAAGGCAUACCGAGUAUGAGAAAUCUGAUUUUAAUGAAAUAAUAUCUAUUUUUCAGGCUAAUGUAUUCAAAAGUGUUUAUGUCCAUUUCUAUGUAUGUAUUUAGCUGCAUGAGAGCAUUAUAAAAAACCAAAUUCUUAAGGCAACAUAAAUAACUAUUAGAUGCCUGCUUCAAACCAAAUUAUUUGUGUGUUAUAUUUUAAUUAACAUUGAUGUCAAGUGCCUUUUUGAUUAUAUAAAAAUAAGAGUAGCAGAAAUAGAAAAGAGGUCCUUCCAUCCAC
Long non-coding RNA from Pantherophis guttatus, 890 nucleotides. RefSeq lists it as uncharacterized. Lineage: Eukaryota; Metazoa; Chordata; Lepidosauria; Squamata; Colubridae. The record is from RefSeq and is a predicted model, not a curated record.